AUGUCUUAUGGAGGCCGGCUGAUUCUUAUUAACUCGGUGCUCACGAGUUUACCUAUGUUUCUCUUAUCCUUCUUUGAGGUCCCGGUUGGGGUUAGGAAAAGGCUGGACUUCUAUCGAUCUCGAUUCUUUUGGCAGAGUGAUGAGCUUAAGAGGAAGUACAGACUUGCCAAAUGGGAUAUUAUCUGUCGACCAAAGGACCAGGGGGGCCUUGGUACUGAAAAUCUUGAAGUCAAGAACAGAUGCUUGCUCAGUAAGUGGCUGUUUAAAUUGUCUUCUGAGAUGGAGGCAACGUGGGCGCAGAUUUUACGUAGUAAAUAUCUGCAGUCCAAGACCCUAUCCCAGGUCACUCUGAGACCAACAGAUUCGCCGUUCUGGAAGGGGCUCAUGAGAAUCAAAGCUGCCUUCUUUAACAUAACGAGGUGUAUUAUCGGUAAUGGUAACAACACGCAAUUCUGGGAGGAUAUGUGGCUUGGCGACACGCCGUUGGCGACCCAGUAUCCGUCCCUAUAUCGUAUUGUUCAGCAUCGUGAGGCUCUUGUUGCCAUGGUUAUGCAUCCGUUC
Molecule: ribosomal RNA, 561 nt
Filed under: Triticum aestivum (bread wheat)
Lineage: Eukaryota; Viridiplantae; Streptophyta; Magnoliopsida; Poales; Poaceae
Description: partial small subunit ribosomal RNA
Source: RNAcentral